AUUGAACGCUGGCGGCAGGCCUAACACAUGCCAGUCGAGCGGAUGAAGGGAGCUUGCUCCUGGAUUCAGCGGCGGACGGGUGAGUAAUGCCUAGGAAUCUGCCUGGUAGUGGGGGAUAACGUCCGGAAACGGGCGCUAAUACCGCAUACGUCCUGAGGGAGAAAGUGGGGGAUCUUCGGACCUCACGCUAUCAGAUGAGCCUAGGUCGGAUUAGCUAGUUGGUGGGGUAAAGGCCUACCAAGGCGACGAUCCGUAACUGGUCUGAGAGGAUGAUCAGUCACACUGGAACUGAGACACGGUCCAGACUCCUACGGGAGGCAGCUGUGGGGAAUAUUGGACAAUGGGCGAAAGCCUGAUCCAGCCAUGCCGCGUGUGUGAAGAAGGUCUUCGGAUUGUAAAGCACUUUAAGUUGGGAGGAAGGGCAGUAAGUUAAUACCUUGCCGUUUUGACGUUACCAACAGAAUAAGCACCGGCUAACUUCGUG
Molecule: ribosomal RNA, 484 nt
Filed under: uncultured bacterium
Lineage: Bacteria
Description: partial 16S ribosomal RNA
Rfam family: Bacterial small subunit ribosomal RNA
Source: RNAcentral